This 251-nucleotide ribosomal RNA is filed under the name uncultured bacterium. RNAcentral describes it as "partial 16S ribosomal RNA". It matches the Rfam family "Bacterial small subunit ribosomal RNA", at positions 525 to 775 of the family's 1533-position model. The record is from RNAcentral.
ACGUAGGGUGCGAGCGUUAAUCGGAAUUACUGGGCGUAAAGGGUGCGCAGGCGGUUGAGUAAGACAGAUGUGAAAUCCCCGAGCUUAACUCGGGAAUGGCAUAUGUGACUGCUCGACUAGAGUGUGUCAGAGGGAGGUGGAAUUCCACGUGUAGCAGUGAAAUGCGUAGAUAUGUGGAAGAACACCGAUGGCGAAGGCAGCCUCCUGGGAUAUAACUGACGCUCAGGCACGAAAGCGUGGGGAGCAAACAG